Molecule: transfer RNA, 77 nt
Filed under: Acetobacteraceae bacterium
Lineage: Bacteria; Pseudomonadati; Pseudomonadota; Alphaproteobacteria; Acetobacterales; Acetobacteraceae
Description: tRNA-Pro
Rfam family: tRNA
About the family: Transfer RNA (tRNA) molecules are approximately 80 nucleotides in length. Their secondary structure includes four short double-helical elements and three loops (D, anti-codon, and T loops).
Source: RNAcentral
CGGAGUGUAGCUCAGCCUGGUAGAGCACUGGUCUCGGGGUCCAGGGGCCGGAGGUUCGAAUCCUCUCACUCCGACCA